RNAcentral lists this unclassified non-coding RNA (432 nucleotides) under soil metagenome. RNAcentral describes it as "partial contains 5.8S ribosomal RNA, internal transcribed spacer 2, and large subunit ribosomal RNA". The stretch from base 1 to 120 matches the Rfam family "5.8S ribosomal RNA", at positions 35 to 154 of the family's 154-position model. The record is from RNAcentral.
GAUGAAGAACGUAGCGAAAUGCGAUACGUAAUGUGAAUUGCAGAAUUCAGUGAAUCAUCGAAUCUUUGAACGCAUAUUGCGCUCUCUGGUAUUCCGGAGAGCAUGCUUGUUUGAGUAUCAGUAAACACCUCAACUUCCAUAUCUUUUUUGAAAUGGGAGUUGGACUUGAGUGAUCCCAACGCUUUUCCUCACCGAAAAGUGGCGGGUUACUUGAAAUGCAGGUGCAGCUGGACUUUUCUCUGAGCUAUAAGCAUAUCUAUUUAGUCUGCCUAAAAAACAGAUUAUUACCUUUGCUGCAGCUAACAUAAAGGAGAUUAGUUCUUGUGCUGACUGAUCCAGGAUUCACAAAGACGGCUUCGGCCGACUUUGUAAACUCGAUCUCAAAUCAAGUAAGACUACCCGCUGAACUUAAGCAUAUCAAUAAGCGGAGGA